GGGUGCAGUGGCGCAAUCUUGGCUCACUGCAACUUCUGCCUCCCAGGUUCUAGGAUUCUUCCAUCUCAAGCCUUCUGAGUAGCUAGGACUACAGGUUUGUGCCACAUGCCCAGCUAAUUUUUGUUUUUUUUUUUGGACGGAGUCUCACUCUUGUCGCAAGACUGGAACGCAAUGGUGCAAUCUUGGCUCACUGCAACCUCCAACUCCCUGGUUCGAGCGAUUCUCCUGCCUCAGCCUCCCAAGUAGCUGGGAUUACAGGCAUGCGCUACCAUGCCCAGCUAAUUUUUGUAUUUUUAGUAGAGACGGGGUUUCACCAUGUUGGCCAGGAUGGUCUCGAUCUCCUGACCUCAUGAUCUGCCCUCCUUGGCCUCCCAAAGUGCUGGGAUUACAGGCGUGAGGCACCGCGCCUAGCUGUGAGACCCCAUCUCUAUAAAAAAUUUAAAAAUCAGCCAGGCAGCCAGGCGCAGUGGCUCACGCCUGUAAUUCCAGCACUUUCGGAGGCCGAGGCAGGCGGAUCACCUGAAGUCAGGAGUUCGAGACCAGCCUGACCAACAUGGUGAAACCCCGUCUCUACUAAAAAUACAAAAUUAGCCGGGAAUGGUGGCUCAUGCCUGUAAUCCCAGCUACUUGGGAGGCUGAGGCAGGAGAAUCACUUGAACCUCGGAGGCAGAGGUUGCAGUGAGCCGAGAUCGUGCCACUGGACUUCAGCCCAGAGCGAAACUCCAUCUCAAAAAAAAAAAAAAAAAAUCCAGGCGCAGUGGCUCACGCCUGUAAUCCCCACAUUUUGGGAGGCCGAGGCGGGUGGAUCACGAGGUCAGGAGAUCAAG
This 827-nucleotide long non-coding RNA is filed under the name Homo sapiens (human). RNAcentral's name for it is "HSALNT0254607". The record is from RNAcentral. Lineage: Eukaryota; Metazoa; Chordata; Mammalia; Primates; Hominidae.